UGGGGAAUAUUGCACAAUGGGCGGAAGCCUGAUGCAGCGACGCCGCGUGAGGGAUGACGGCCUUCGGGUUGUAAACCUCUUUCAGUAGGGACGAAGCGUAAGUGACGGUACCUGCAGAAGAAGCACCGGCUAACUACGUGCCAGCAGCCGCGGUAAUACGUAGGGUGCGAGCGUUGUCCGGAAUUACUGGGCGUAAAGAGCUCGUAGGCGGUUUGUCACAUCGUCUGUGAAAUCCUAGGGCUUAACCCUGGACGUGCAGGCGAUACGGGCUGACUUGAGUACUACAGGGGAGACUGGAAUUUCUGGUGUAGCGGUGGAAUGCACAGAUAUCAGGAAGAACACCGAUGGCGAAGGCAGGUCUCUGGGUAGUAACUGACGCUGAGGAGCGAAAGCAUGGGUAGCGAACAGG
This 409-nucleotide ribosomal RNA is filed under the name Verrucomicrobiota bacterium. Its description in RNAcentral is "Verrucomicrobia bacterium partial 16S ribosomal RNA". It matches the Rfam family "Bacterial small subunit ribosomal RNA", at positions 355 to 776 of the family's 1533-position model. The record is from RNAcentral. Lineage: Bacteria; Pseudomonadati; Verrucomicrobiota.